ACAUAAUUUUUUUUAAUGGCCAAAUCGGUGUCCAAAAAUACCGAUUUCCGAUUGUUAUGAAAACUUGAAAUCGGCCCUAAUUAAUCGGUCGACCUCUAUUCUCUACUGCUCCACUUUGCCUCCCCUUUCCUUUGUUCUAUGUAAGUCAAAAUAGAAUGUAUGUUGUAAUUUGGUUCAGUACAGCUGAGGAAUAUAACGGUAUAAGAGUAUAACUUCUCCUGUAUUAGGCUAUUUAGUACAUGUGGGUUGUUGGGAGUGGUUUGCGAUCUGAAUUAUUCAUACAUAGCUCUUAAAAAAAGAACGUAAUCUAUUAAAUAUACAAGCAAAAUCUAGAAAUAAACAUCAUAAAUGUUUAAUUUGCUGCUCUCAUUCCCGCAUUUUCUAAGUCGAGGCUCUCUCAGCUGCAUGUCAUUUGGGAGAGGCAAAAUCAGCACAACAUUCAGAUUUCACCCAGUUAGCUUUAGAAGAUGUAUUUGAUUAAAACUACAAUUAAUGUGAUGGUCUUUUAAUUGCACUGUGGGUAGUCUAUGGGCUAACGUAACAGUUUGCUGUUUCCAAAGCUAGGCUUACGUUCCACAAUACAAUCUCCAGGGCUGUUUUUAUUGCCAGACGUAGGGGAGGCUUAUCUUAAUCAGUUAUGGAACAUUAAAUUAUGUCUGCAUGUCCAAAUCACACAUCUGCUUUUAAAUAUGUCUAAUCCCCACCUUUAUCACACACAGUGUCUCUCUCUCUCUCUCUCUCUCUCUCUCUCUCACACACACUUCUUUUAAUGCAGUAGCAUUUAACUGAGACACAAUCUGGAACAUAUUUGUUUCUGCAGUAAUAAAUUACUGCAAAAUCCUCUUUCAUUAAUCUGGAGGGAGAUCCACAUGAUCUGAAUGGGGACCGCUGGAGCCAAAUCCCUGCCCUGCACUGUGGGCUUAGGCCCACUGGGGGCAGCAGGGUUUCAUGGGCUGGGAGAGUGACCUGCAGAGGAGAGGAGGGAGGGAGGGGAAGUGGGACAGGGGAACCUUUGUUUGAAAGUGAUGAACCCUUAUGCCCAUCCCGAUUUUGCCCAUGGCAUUAUUAUUCUAAUCGCAUGUGUCAUGUGCAAUUGACAAUAUCAAGUCCGAAUGACUUGACUGUCUGAUUGAGAUGUUUCUCAUAUGACUGACUGCCCUCGUUUGGGGGCGGUGUUCCACGACGGAGGUGGUGUUCCACGACGUGGGGGUCCUGAGCCAGAAGCUCUUCCCCAUCGUGGAGGCCAUGCAGAAGCACUUCAGCUCCGGCUCCGGGGCCUACUACAGCAACGCCAUCUUCUUCCUGUCCGUGGCCAUGCACCACAUCUUGUCCAUAGAUCUGUAGUGCAUUGUACAGCUGGACCUGGAUCUGAAGUACAGGAGCAACAUCAGGGAGCUGUUUCUGGAGUUCGAUCGCUUCUCUUCUGGAGUUGUGAUCGGCAUUGCCUGAGAGAUUCAGCCGGGUAUACAGACACACCUUCUGGCAGUACCGUAAAGAGAACCCUCAGUCCCAUGUGGGUGAGCUUACUCCGGACGGCUUGCCGGGCUUCAACAGUGGCGUGAUGCUGCUGGACCUGGGGGCCAUGCGGACCUCGGCCCUCUACAACUAGCUCCUGGAGCCCAGAAACGUGUCCCUGCUGGCUGACCAGUACCACUUCAGGGGCGACCUGGACUUUUUCACCAUGAUCAGCAUGGAACACCCAGGGUUGUUCCAUUCACUGGCUUGUGGCUGGAACCGCCAACUGUGCACCUGGUGGAGGGAGCACGGAUAUGGGGGCGUGUUCCAGCUCUAUUACCACUGUGACGGGCCGGUGUAUCUACCAUGGAAACUGUAAUACGCCCAUACCCGAUGACUUAGUUGAUACCUCUUAAGGUGUUUUCCAAAAUGGUGGACCUAGACCAACUGGUGGGGUGUGGUGAACUCAUUGUAAGUCUUGCUUCAAGACUUGGUUCUGGAGAGAAAUAAGAUAUUUGCUAUACAACUUUCUGGGUCACAACAAAACUCCAAAAAGGCUUUAGUUUGGCAACAAACGUUUUGGAACCAGAACCACUUUGGUACUGUGCCACUGCUACUGUAAACGCCGCUCCCACUCCAGCCCCAUGCUGGGCUGGUUUGCAAUACAGAUAGUACAAGGCGUCUCACUCACUCCACUAAUGUCAAGUGGGUAGCUAAUAACCAAUGUGGACCAUUAAUCCUUUAAGCGUCAAUCUAAGUAACAUAGAGAUAUGUUUUUUGCAUGUGCUGCGUCUCGAUCCACUGCAUCUGUCUAUGUUGGCCUUCCGCAUCUGCAGUGGAAGGUGGCCGAACUACAGCGGUGUUUGUCAGACCAUAAGACAUCCUGAAAAUCGGUCUUCUCACGAAGAAGUCUGUAGUGCCUAGAAACUAAUAUGUUUUACUCUACGACCCCCACAAGUGUCACAGGACUCAUCUGAAGGUAACUCAUACAAAUGAAUGGAAGUAUGGAGGUAGUUUUGUGCCAAUAACAAUAAGGGGUUAAAUGUGUCAACAACAAAAAAAAUAUUUCCUGAGUUUUCAUAUAUCUCCUACAUAUAGGACAGACACUUCAAAACCUUAUUAUAUAGUUUUUUUACUGUCUUUUUUGCCAUAUAUGAAUGUUAUUUGAUGCGUUUCUAUGGGCUAUAGUAGUAAAGGCCAAAUUCAAUAUUUUAUCCCCCCAAAAAGUAUAUAUAUUUUUUUAUAUCUAAAGGUCCUAAAAUGCAAUAUCAUAUAUCUAAAUGAUCCAUGGUAUGACCAUCAUAAAACAAUUCCCCAACGGCUUAGACUUUUAGUGACUCCCUUUUUAUCACCCUCCGGUUUGAGACUAGGUCAGUGUUAAUAAUCAGUGCCCAUUCACUUCACGUCCCGGUGACAAUCUGAGGGAGCUUUUGUUUGCCAAUUCUGGACUCUCUGGCAGGCUGAGUGGGCAGGAGGCAAGACACACUGGCACCCACUAGGACAUCCCACUGAGAGCCUAAUGGAGAGAAAAGAGGGAGAGGGUAGAGGUGAGGGAUGAUGAGACUGCUGAUAGGCUACACCUACAGAUACUUGACCCAAUCACACACAAGGUUUUUUUCAAGUGAGACGCAGACACCAUAGUGACUGUACACACUGACCCACUUUUGUUCCCUAUUUCAUCAAAAAAGAGGAAGCUUUUAACCUGUCUGGGAACCACCCUAGUCAACAGCCAGUGGAAUCGCGUCAAUUUCUCAAACAUAUGACUAUUCUACACCAUUUUAUAGAUACACCUCUCCUGAAUCGAACCACGUUGUCCGAUUUCAAAAAGGCUUUACAGCAAAAGCAAAACAUUAGAUUAUGUUAGGAGAGUACCCUGCCAAAAAAAAUCACACUGCCAUUUUCAAA
Molecule: RNA transcript, 3360 nt
Organism: Salmo salar (Atlantic salmon)
Lineage: Eukaryota; Metazoa; Chordata; Actinopteri; Salmoniformes; Salmonidae
Source: RefSeq, a predicted model, not a curated record